RNAcentral lists this ribosomal RNA (446 nucleotides) under uncultured bacterium. Its description in RNAcentral is "partial 16S ribosomal RNA". It matches the Rfam family "Bacterial small subunit ribosomal RNA", at positions 338 to 795 of the family's 1533-position model. The record is from RNAcentral.
CCUACGGGUGACUGCAGUAGGGAAUGUUCGGCAAUGGGGGGAACCCUGACCGAGCAACGCCGCGUGAAGGAAGAAGUUAUUCGUAAUGUAAAGUUCUUUUAACAGGGAAGAAAGAGAAAUUUGAAGGUACCUGAAGAAUAAGCUCCGGCUAACUACGUGCCCGCAGCCGCGGUAAUACGGAGGGAGCGAGCGUGAUCCGGAAUCAUUGGGCGAAAAGGGUGCGUAGAUGGCAUAGUAAGUCUUUUGUAAAAAUGCUGGGCUCAACCCAGUAGGGCAAAAGAUACUGCAAGGCUAGAGUAUGACAGAGGCAUGUGGAACGACAUGUGUAGCGGUAAAAUGCGUAGAUAUAUGUAAGAACACCAGUGGCGAAGGCGGCUUGCUGGGUCGAUACUGACAUUGAGGCACGAAAGCGUGGGGAGCAAACAGGAUUAGAUACCCGAGUAGUC